AUGCAUUAUGAUAAAGAUAUCUUUAUUUCACCAUAAUUACCUUAAAAUAAUCAGAAAAAAAUUAUGUUAUAAU
Molecule: small RNA, 73 nt
Filed under: Parvimonas micra
Lineage: Bacteria; Bacillati; Bacillota; Tissierellia; Tissierellales; Peptoniphilaceae
Description: dfrA-dnaX RNA
Rfam family: dfrA-dnaX RNA
Source: RNAcentral